Molecule: unclassified non-coding RNA, 301 nt
Organism: Callithrix jacchus (white-tufted-ear marmoset)
Lineage: Eukaryota; Metazoa; Chordata; Mammalia; Primates; Cebidae
Rfam family: Metazoan signal recognition particle RNA
About the family: The signal recognition particle (SRP) is a universally conserved ribonucleoprotein.
Source: Ensembl
ACUGAGCAUAGUGGUGACUGCCUGUAGUCUCAGCUACUCGGGAGGCUGAGGUGGGAGGACCCCUUGAGCCCAGGAGUUUUGGGCUGUAGUGGGCUAUAUGCCUAUCAAGCGUACACACAAGUUUGGCAUCAAUAUGGUCACCUCCUGGGAGCGGGGGACCACCAGGUUGCCUAAGGAGGGGUGAACUGGCCCAGGUUGGAAAUGGAGCAGGUCAAAACUCCUGUGAUGAUUAGUAGUGGGAUCAUGCCUGUGAAUAGCCACUGCACUUCAGUCUGGACAACAUAGCGAGAUCCCGUUUCUU